AUGCAAGAUCUAAAUGAUAUUGACGAUGUUCAGAUGGGUUGGACUUCCCGCCGACCCUACAGUAUAAAAGAACAAGGUUUCUGAGGACUCAGCAGAUAUAACGACACGAGGCAAAAAAUAUCUAAUAAUUUGAAGAGGAACUUCAAAACUUGAAGAGCUACAAAAAUGAAGAUUUUGUUAUUAUUAACAGCAGUUGUUGCAUUUUGUUGUAAGUGUACAAACUUUUCCAAUGUUAUACUUAAUAAUAAUUGCCAAGCUAGAUGUUUUGAAAUCUAGAUAUACUGCCCAUUUAGGACAUACUCAAAUUAACUUUAAGGCCAUUUGGUCAUGGUAAUGGCAUUGAUCUACUACAUUACAAACGCACUGGCGUGUAGCAUUAAAGCUGAGUACCAUAUAUAAAUAGGUAAACCCGCAUUUCCCUAAAAAUCUGCAGAAACACUGAUGAAGAUUAAGACAGCUAUAUAUUACUUUUUAUUUUAUUUGCAGAUGCAACCUCAGUUGAUACAGAAGAAGGUAAGCCAUAUUCAGAUCAUAUUUAUACUAAGCGAUAAAAUUUAUUUUGACUUAAUUUGCCAAGCAAGCAUGC
Paramuricea clavata is the source of this 586-nucleotide non-coding RNA. The record is from the annotation of a GenBank genome assembly. Lineage: Eukaryota; Metazoa; Cnidaria; Anthozoa; Malacalcyonacea; Plexauridae.